Molecule: signal recognition particle RNA, 214 nt
Filed under: chicken gut metagenome
Description: Bacterial large signal recognition particle RNA
Rfam family: Bacterial large signal recognition particle RNA
About the family: The signal recognition particle (SRP) is a universally conserved ribonucleoprotein involved in the co-translational targeting of proteins to membranes. Archaeal SRP consists of a 7S RNA and homologues of the eukaryotic SRP19 and SRP54 proteins.
Source: RNAcentral
GUACUAGGUGGGGAGCUAGUGGUGCCCUGUUACCCACAAUCCACUACAGUGGGACUGAAAGUGUAUAGCGGGAUAGACUUGGUUGUGUUGAGUAGCUUUAGAGUAUGUUGAAAUCAGGGUCUUAUACAAUAUUGCCCUACGAAUCAUGUCAGGGUCGGAAGACAGCAGCAUUAAGUUGGAUACAGUAUGUGCUGUAAGGUUACUUUGGUGGAGU